UACGAAGGGGGCUAGCGUUGCUCGGAAUGACUGGGCGUAAAGGGCGCGUAGGCGGACGGCUUUGUCGGGCGUGAAAUUCCAGGGCUUAACCUUGGGGCUGCGCUCGAGACGGGUUGUCUAGAGUUUGGAAGAGGGUCGUGGAAUUCCCAGUGUAGAGGUGAAAUUCGUAGAUAUUGGGAAGAACACCGGUGGCGAAGGCGGCGACCUGGUCCUUGACUGACGCUGAGGCGCGAAAGCGUGGGGAGCAAACAGG
This 253-nucleotide ribosomal RNA is filed under the name uncultured bacterium. RNAcentral's name for it is "partial 16S ribosomal RNA". It matches the Rfam family "Bacterial small subunit ribosomal RNA", at positions 524 to 776 of the family's 1533-position model. The record is from RNAcentral.